AAGUGGUGCAUGGAAGUGCAGAUAAAGAGAAAUGGACCUACUGUCGUCACUGCGACGAGUCAAAUUACCGACGGACACGAAGUUCUUGGACAUCGUUCUUGGAUUUCGAUAUAAUUUUACACCUUCGAAGAGAGAAGGAGAAACGCUUUCUGUUCCCCAUUAAUUAAAUCCCAAACUAUCGGUUUCCUGUUAUAUUGUCGUUCAAUACACGGAAGGGAUUCAAUGUCUGUUGGCGUUGUGGCCAAGUGUAUUGUUUUGUAAACAACGACGGAGGACAGAGUUUGGCCUGAAUGAUACAUCGAUUGUCAAUUAACAGCGAUUAAUUGAUAAGCUGGUAGCUUUGAUCACGUAAUACAAGUGGAUUUGAAAGUGCAUCAGUCUAUCAAUAGCGAAUGUUUGCCACCAAAUCAAUGAAGUAUGUUUGGAUCACUGCGUAGCAAGUUUCAGACAGUGCAAGAAGGUAUAUCUGCCAGUAUACGUGGAUUGUCCACCGCUGAGCACCCAAAGAGCAAAAAGUCGGUGAAUACAAGGAAUGUAAAUUAUGAUGCUGGGGCAGACGUUUUGCAUCACUUUCAAUUACAAUGGAAUGAGCUUCAUGAACUUGCCGAGGAGAAUGGAGGAAAGGCACAGGAAGCAGAUGCGCUGAUCUCCUCCAUUUAUGAGAAACUUCAACAUGAGUGGAACAAUGUUACCUGUUUAAAUAGCACUUUAGCCUACAUUCCAAAGAUUAAUAAUGCGAUUCAAGAUCUCAUGGACCAAAUAGGAAAUUUACAAGAAAUGUUUGAGGAAGUUGAAGGAGCUUUGUAUCGAUUGGAGGACCUAAAUGAAAUGUUAGAUUUACAAAAUAGGCAGCUGGAUCACAGAUUCCAGUUGGCUCUUUACAAAGAGAAGAAAUUGAUAGAAUUAAACAACUUGAAAGCAAAGUUAGCUAACGAACACACGGAAAGACUUUCACAACACGAAUUAAAUCAGCAAAAAAAAUUAAGGGAACGACGAGAGACUUUUGAGGAAGCUUUUAAAGAGGAUCUUGAAGAGUACAAAGCAACUGGCUCCAUACCAAUUCGCCAUCUCUUGUUCAAAUCAAGAGCUACCAGUUUCUACAAAAGGCCCAUCUUUAGAUGAAAUAGUGUUGGACAUUGAUUCAAAAAUAUUUGACGAGUUUUUAGAAAAUUAAAGGCAGAGAAGAGUCAGGUUUCUUCCAAAUAAUUGCUGAAGUGAUGAAAUUUUUUGUUAGACUAAUAACUGUACGUAUUUACAAAAAAUAUAAUUAUCUUAUAAUUAGUUGUUCAUAAAUUAUGAGUAUAAAUUAUGAACAACUAAUAAAAGUUUAAUAUAGUGCAUAAUAUAGUUAUAUGUAACUAUAAUCAAAAGCUUGUGUUAUGUUAGAAGCUUCCAGUUUGACCACAGCCAUUCACAGUGAUUAAUUCUUAGAAUUGUUUUCAUUGAAUACACCAAUUCAGAAAUCUUAUUUAGCCAAUAAAUGUAGGCAAUCACGCGUCACUAUUUAUGUACAAUUAUGCAGUUAAUGGGAUUAUAUUAAUGCAUACAUUACCGUUAAUAAAUCUCUGCUUCAUCGAA
This 1578-nucleotide unclassified non-coding RNA is filed under the name Monomorium pharaonis (pharaoh ant). RNAcentral describes it as "dysbindin protein homolog, transcript variant X2". The record is from RNAcentral. Lineage: Eukaryota; Metazoa; Arthropoda; Insecta; Hymenoptera; Formicidae.